Molecule: long non-coding RNA, 340 nt
Organism: Schistocerca nitens (vagrant locust)
Lineage: Eukaryota; Metazoa; Arthropoda; Insecta; Orthoptera; Acrididae
Exons: 3
Source: RefSeq, a predicted model, not a curated record
UGCACUCAGGCAUGUCAGAUGUACACGAACUUGUUUUGCCCCAUGCGGAGCCAGCAUUCUGCUCGCUAGAGGUUGAGCAUGAGAAGUAGACUGUCUUCUCAAGCAUGUUAGCUGGGAGUGUGCCAAUUUUGGCCCCAAGGAACACCUGUUCUGCACACUCCACAAAAUGGCCCUCGUGGCCAGCACUACUCAGACCUGUAGGCCGGGAAGAAGCUGGUUUUAGUCCAGAGCAGCAAGCAUUCCGCUCACCACACAAAACGCCAUUCAGACUAGAGCACAAGAAGUAGGAUGUCUACACAUUCCUGCUGGACAGAAGAGUGACUAUACUGGCCCAGAGCAG